RNAcentral lists this ribosomal RNA (304 nucleotides) under uncultured bacterium. RNAcentral describes it as "bacterial SSU rRNA". It matches the Rfam family "Bacterial small subunit ribosomal RNA", at positions 28 to 334 of the family's 1533-position model. The record is from RNAcentral.
GACGAACGCUGGCGGCGUGCCUAACACAUGCAAGUCGAACGGCAGCACGGACUUCGGUCUGGUGGCGAGUGGCGAACGGGUGAGUAAUACAUCGGAACGUGCCUAGUAGUGGGGGAUAACUACUCGAAAGAGUGGCUAAUACCGCAUGAGAUCUACGGAUGAAAGCAGGGGAUCGCAAGACCUUGUGCUACUAGAGCGGCCGAUGGCAGAUUAGGUAGUUGGUGGGAUAAAAGCUUACCAAGCCAACGAUCUGUAGCUGGUCUGAGAGGACGAUCAGCCACACUGGGACUGAGACACGGCCCAG